CAGCGUUGGCAGUUUCAGGCUGAAACCAGGAGAGAGUGAUCUUUUAUUUACUGCUGGAUUUCCUCAUGGGCUUUCUGCUGAGCAGCACCAUGUCCAAGGGCUUUGAUAACUGAGCUCUCCUGGCAAAGACCAAGGUUUUAAGAAGACUUUAAAGAGGGUAAUGAAGUUCCUGAGAGUUCUUUCCACAAAUCUGCCCUGGAACACAGGAGGAACUUGGGAGAAAACGCAGAGGUGCAUGUGAAGUGACAGACUGAAGAAGGAAAGGGCACUGCUGGCCAAACACAGUGCAGACUGGAAGCCCAGCAUCCAGGAGGGAUGGUGUGUGAAGGGAUGAUGAGAUCCUGAUGGUUUGGCGUGGUUUUGAGGGUGAGGAAAAUUCCCCAUGGACAGGGUGUACCAAGGAGAGCGGCGAAGUUUCGCAACCCAGAGUGAAGUUUCCCAUGUGUGCUGUGACUCAGUGUGCUCCUGGUGUCUUGGGAAUAGAAAUUAGAGAGCAAGGCAUCACAUCCUAGCACUGUGCUGGCUGGAAGACCUUGAGCCCCCUCUGGGUAGAGAUGGCGAGCACAGAGGAUGAGCUUCCCUACCCCCAGAGUGAUCCAUCCUUGCAAGGCUGGGUACCAAGGUUUUGACUUCUGGAGGUGGAAUGUGGUCCUGCUUUGCUUCUAUCCCACUCGGAGCAGGUUAAUGCUCCGGAGGCCUCUCUGCUUAGAUCUCCCUUCAUUCCCAAAGCCCUGCCUCUGGUGUGAGGUGAUGGAUGCCUGGAAAUGAACUGUGGGGGGAUUUAUUCCGGGAGAGGAGAUAAAAAUAACCCAGCUUGUUUCUCUUUGCCCUGAAACCUCGGACAUUUUGCGUGAAUUAUGAGCAGCCAAUACGUCUUGUUCUCGAGAGGGUCAGGUAGGGAAAAGGGGCUGGAGCUGGCAAGAUAAGCCUUCCCUAGAAAUUAGGGACACAUCCAGAAAUAACCCAGAGUUUUCAAAGUCUGGGGGGCUGCCCAGUGAUUUAGGGGGAAAAAAAAUCCACUAGGACAUGAAAUCCAAACAAAAAAAGGCAGGGCUUUGCAGCACAGCUAAAUCGAGAAGCAAAGAGAAAGUACCAGGAAGGGCCAUUAGGGAAUAAUGCCCCUGGAAUUAAAUAGAUAACUUGGAGGCAGGGAAUUUCCCCAGGCACGAUUUGGCUGCGUGCCUGCCCCAGUAAAGCACUUUUUGACAUUAAGGCAACAGCAGAGAGAAGCUGGGACUUUCAAAGGCACUUUAUCUCCAGUUGUUCCAGUCUUAUUUUCUAAUUGGCCUGGACUCUGGUCCAUUAAAAGGGCUGACAAAUGCUGCAGGAGUAAGAGUAUUAGUAACUAAUGCACUUAGUGGUUGUGAAUAGGCUUAAUACAUGAGGAAUGAGUUCUCCUUUAUUUCACAGGAAUUCAAAGGAGCCUUGCCAUAGGCAUUAAUUGCAUUUAAUUCCAUGUUAGGGCCCAUUCAUCCUACCAACAACUUGGAUUACAGCCCAAGAGUAAAUGUGAUUCUCUCUGGAAGUGUUUCUUCUGAUCAAAUACUUCAGAUACACAAAA
Molecule: long non-coding RNA, 1561 nt
Organism: Passer montanus (Eurasian tree sparrow)
Lineage: Eukaryota; Metazoa; Chordata; Aves; Passeriformes; Passeridae
Exons: 5
Source: RefSeq, a predicted model, not a curated record